Molecule: non-coding RNA, 3759 nt
Organism: Rhopilema esculentum
Lineage: Eukaryota; Metazoa; Cnidaria; Scyphozoa; Rhizostomeae; Rhizostomatidae
Source: RefSeq, a predicted model, not a curated record
UGGUGAUCUGAAAAACAUAAAAAACUCUAAUCGGUUAACGUAAAUUUUAGGUUAUUUCAGCAUAUAUUUAGGUGACAUGUAAAAUGUGUUUGUCCGAAAGUUUUUUGUCUGAAAUUCUCAAAAAUACUAUCGAAAGUUUUUGUCCGAAGUUGUUCUGCAGAAACUUUUCCGUUCGAAAGUUUUCGGAUUUAAUGCAUCGGGUAUUCAAUGUAUCACGUUCUUUCUUAAUGGCAAUUCAUUUUUGAUUGUAUAGUAAAAUAGCUGUUUACGCAAAGCUGAUAUUCUUUGGGGCCUUGUCGAACAAUGGCUACUUUAAAAAAUACCGUUUUAAAUCUUUAGAGGACUAUGUUUUUAAUGAUUUCAGUAGAGGACAAAGAAACUGUUAUUGUCAUUGGAAGUUGUUUACGCCGUAGAAAUUGUAUAAAUGUAGAGCACUGCUGUCACAGGAGCAGAAUCAUUGUUGAAUUCAAGACCAUUGACGUACCACACAGCAAACGUGAGGAUGACAUGCCUUGUGACGCCAAAUCACCAGAACCAAAAGGGAGGAAAAUUCGCACCGGAGAUGGUACACAAAACGAUAUUCAGUUCAAGGCAACGACAGCGACAUGUUCAGGAAUGGGUGAAGAAUUUAUGGCAACGCUUGAUGAGAGAAUGACUACCAAGUCUGAAUCCCCCAACAACGAAAUGGCACAAAGAGAAAAGACACGUGAAGAAAAGAAAGCCUUGCAAUGAAUUCAAGAGCGGAUUAAAGAGAAAAAAAUUGAUCGUGCCAAAUGAAUUCUUUGGAUGGAAUGAUAUGUUUUUUCAUUUUAAAAAUUGUUAAAAAAAACUGAAACAGUUUCAGUGACCUUGACACUGCAAGAAAACAAUGAUGUUAAAACAUUGGUACAAGAAAACGGGCACGGUGUCAGUAGCAUUAACAAAAAAAACAAGGAUGGCCAGCUUUCCGUCAGAUACUCUGGCAAGUGUAUUUAUCAUGUGUGUCUUUGAAUGAAAACUAAAUUUUAAAAGAAGCUACCAAAUGAAACUAACCCCAACUAUAUCACCUUUGCUUUUUCCAGUUAAAACAUUGGUACAAAAAAAACAGGCACGGUGUCGGUAGCCUUGACAUUAAAGGAAACCAAGGAUGGCCAGCUUUCCGUCAAAUAUUCUGGUCCAGAGGAAUUUGCGAAUUUCGCAAAAAGUCCUCUUGUUGUAAAAGAAUUUUUGAGGGUGACAAAUGAGAAAGUCACCCAUGAUGACAGCCUAUAUCCAGUUGUUAUGGACAAUCAGGUCCUGGACUAUUUAGGAAAAGAAGAAGAUUUGAUAAAUCUCACGAUUUUCCAGAAACGGCGGCUUGUCAGCAAAAUUGUAACUGGCCCUGGUAUUGAUCGUGCCAAGUUGAAUUCUUUGGAUGGAAUGGUAUGUUUUUGCACAUGAAUGAAAAUUUCUUCUUUUUAACAGUGCUCAAGAAAAAAUAUAUACAAAAAUAAAUACAACAGCAAAAUUGUUUUUGCCGCUUUUACCUAAAAAUAAAUUUUUAAAGGUGUUUAGACUUUUUUCUUCAUUGGUCUCAAUUUGAAGACGGUUAGGCCACGGUUGAUCUGUCAUAACAUUGCUCCUAGCAUUGCGAAUGAACUGUGGCUUCGCAAAUGUCACAAGACAGACAUGAUUCGUUUAGAAGUGAGGUUGAUUUUGAUAGCACCUUAACCUCUAAGUAUAUUCAAAAUGUAUAUAUAUAUAAGGCAUUUCUGUAUGUAUGUAUGGAGUUUAAAAAUUGGUAAAAAAAACUGAAAAAGUUUCAAUGACCUUGACACUGCAAGAAAACAAUGAUGGUAAGUUGUGCGUCAGAUAAUCUGGCAAGUGUAUUUACCAUGUGUGUCUUUGGAUGAAAACUGAAUUUUAAAACAAGCUACCAAAUGAAACUAAGCCCAACUAUAUCACCUUUGCUUUUUCCAGUUGAAAAUUGGUACAAGAAAACAGGCACGGUGUCGGUAGCCUUGACAAUAAAGGAAACCAAGGAUGGCCAGCUUUCCGUCAAAUAUUCUGGCAAGUGUAUUCACCAUGUAUCUUUUUGGAUGAAAACUGAAUUUCAAAACAAGCUACCACAUGAACCAAAGCCCAACUGUAUCACCGUGUUUCUUCUCAUAGGUCCAGAGGAAUUUCCGAACUUCGCAAAAAGUCCUCAAGUGAAAAAAGAAUUUAUGAGGGUGACAAAGAAGAAAAUCACCCAUGAUGACAGCCUAUAUCCAGAUACCGGAUGGAUAUAUUAUUAUCAAAUGCAGUGAAUUUGGAAUGCAGUGUUGUAUUUAUAUUGAGCUAAUAUUCAGCAGGGCCUCCCACAUUUUCACAAAACUAAAGUGUUUUUGGAAAAUAUUUUGCAUCACUGGCAACUUGCAUCAGAAUCAAUAUGUUUUCUCAAAAUGAGAUCUAUGUUGUAUUUACUCCACUUGUUAUGAUAAAUCCUUCUCCAACUAUGUAAUUGUAAUUAUAUCUGAUUUUGGUAAUGUGUGAAGUAACAGAAUUGAUUGUGAUGUAAAUUUGCUUCUUCCACAGUUGUUAUGGACAAUCAGGUCCUGGACUAUUUAGGAAAAGAAGAAGAUUUGAUAAAUCUCACGAUUUUCCAGAAUCGGUGGCUUGUCAGCAAAAUUGUAACUGGCCCUGGUAUUGAUCGAGCCAAGUUGAAUUCUUUGGAUGGAAUGUUAAAAAAAUUGGUACAAGAAAACAGGCACGGUGUCGGUAGCCUUGACAUUAAAGGAAACCAAGGAUGGCCAGCUUUCCGUCAAAUAUUCUGGUCCAGAGGAAUUUGCGAAUUUCGCAAAAAGUCCUCUUGUUGUAAAAGAAUUUUUGAGGGUGACAAAUGAGAAAGUCACCCAUGAUGACAGCCUAUAUCCAGUUGUUAUGGACAAUCAGGUCCUGAACUAUUUAGGAAAAGAAGAAGAUCUGGUAAAUCUUAUGAUUUUCCAAAAUCGGUGGCUUGUCAGUAAAAUUGUAAAUGGCCCUGAAAUGUCGAAGCAAGCCAACGGGUGGAAAAGCAUGCCCAAAUGGUGGCCAGACAAUGUUCAAUUCAGGAGCCCAACCACAAGAAAUCCUGCACUGCGAGGAAAAGAUCUAAACAAAAUCAUUGAAGGGGUGCAAUCGUUUCCAUGUGUAGUAGCUGGAACGUGAGGCAAUGAAGAGAAUGUAAACAGCUUCAAGUUGUAGUUGCAAUUGCAAAAAGCUUUAGGUUGGCAGAUAUUCUUUGCUGCAGAUCUAAAAAACUUUUUAAUGAAGUUUUAUAUCACAAAAUAAAUAAACUGGUUAGAUAAUAAUGUGAAAAUUCCAAAAAUUAAAAAAAUGACAAAAGAAAACAAAGGAAACUUAUUUGUAUAUGUGUAUGCAUAUGUUAGACCAGAUAGCUUAACAGACAAUGCAGCUACAGCAGUAUUUACCCUUGUGAGAGCAAAAUAUAAAAAUUAUAGCCUGUGUAGCAAUUUUAAUAAUGUAUAUAAGUAUGUCAGUUUGUAAGUGAGUUUAGUUUAAAUCAGAGUUCUACAAGCAACAUACUCUCUCUCACUGGCUUUGUGCUCUUCACACGUUAAAUAGAACUCCCUUGGUUGGAAACAAAAUAUUAGUGGAUGGACGGUUUAUCCAGUGCCUACAUCUAUUGUUGUUCCAAUGUACACUAAUCCCUCAUACGCAUUCAUGAUUUCCCUAACAAAGGUCGUAUAUAUACCUUGCAAAAUCUAGGACAUAGAUUCUUUAAAAAGGGGUGUUUUGAGAAAAAGUUUAUCAUAGAGA